GCGGCUUAAUUUGACUCAACGCGGGGUAAUUUACCAGGUAUAACAUGAUAUAAUAUUUUAUCAUGAUAGUGGUGCAUGGCCGUUUCCAAUGGAUGCUGUGAAGUAAUGAUUAAUUUCAACAAGAUGUGAGACCCUCAUUUAGACAGAUGUAGUGAUACAUAUGAAGGAGAGGAUUAAAACAGGUCCGUUAUGCCCUAAGAUAAUCUGGGUUGCACGCGCAAUACAAUAAUAUUUGAUAUUAUAAGGGUUAAUAUAAUGUAAGAUAUAUUUGAACAUGGAAUUGCUAGUAAAUUUUAUUUAAUAAGUAGAAUUGAAUGAGUCCCUGUUCUUUGUACACACCGCCCGUCGCUAUCUAAGAUGGUAUUAUCUAUGAACAAAUUUAUAAAGUGAAUAGAUAGUACUAGAUCUGAUAUAAGUCGUAACAUGGUUGCUGUUGGAGAACCAUUAGCAGGAUCAUAA
RNAcentral lists this ribosomal RNA (459 nucleotides) under Nosema bombycis. Its description in RNAcentral is "SSU rRNA". It matches the Rfam family "Microsporidia small subunit ribosomal RNA", at positions 819 to 1311 of the family's 1311-position model. The record is from RNAcentral. Lineage: Eukaryota; Fungi; Microsporidia; Nosematidae.